Molecule: ribosomal RNA, 463 nt
Filed under: uncultured bacterium
Lineage: Bacteria
Description: partial 16S ribosomal RNA
Rfam family: Bacterial small subunit ribosomal RNA
Source: RNAcentral
GAUGAACGCUGACAGAAUGCUUAACACAUGCAAGUCUUUGGCGAAGCUGUGCUUGCACAGCCUAGCCAAGGCGGACGGGUGAGUAACGCGUAAGGAACUUGCCCUGCAGUCAGGGAUAACAGACGGAAACGACUGAUAAGACCUGGUAAAGUCAGGCGGACUCAUGUCCAGCCUGAUGAAAAGUGAUGCUGCAGGAGAGCCUUGCGUCCUAUUAGCUUGUUGGUGGGGUAACGGCCCACCAAGGCGAUGAUAGGUAGCCGGCCUGAGAGGGUGGACGGCCACAAGGGGACUGAGAUACGGCCCUUACUCCUACGGGAGGCAGCAGUGGGGAAUAUUGGACAAUGGGGGCAACCCUGGUCCAGCAAUUCUGUGUGCACGAUGAAGGUUUUCGGAUUGUAAAGUGCUUUCAGCAGGGAAGAAAAAAAUGACGGUACCUGCAGAAGAAGCGACGGCUAAAUACGUG